Oryza sativa Japonica Group (Japanese rice) is the source of this 720-nucleotide non-coding RNA. NCBI's taxonomy places the organism in Eukaryota, Viridiplantae, Streptophyta, Magnoliopsida, Poales, Poaceae. The record is from RefSeq and is a predicted model, not a curated record.
GUCCCCAUUGCCGACCGCCGCGCCUCCGCCUCCCCCUGGCGCCGCCGCCUCGGCCCCCGCCGCCGUCGCCGCCUCCCCAUCGCCGGCCAUCUCUGCCUCCCGCCAUCCCCAUCGUCGGCCGCCUCCCCCCUCGCGCCAUCACCGUCACCGAGUGCACCCGUCUCUUCCUCCGCCACCGCUGUCGUCGUCGCCGAGCGCCGUCGGUGCCACCUCCGCCUCGCUCCGCCGCUGCUGCCGUCGCCGAGCACUGCCGCAGCAUCGUCGUCCACUGCCGCCGCCAUCGCCGAGCGUCGCCGCUGCGUCCUUCGCCGCCAUCACCAACGGCCGCUGCUCCGCCCUCCGUUGCCGCUGCCAUAGAAGAAACGGCAGUGGUGACAGAACCGACAUCUUCGGCUUCUCCAGUUUCCUUCCACCUCUUCCCCUCACCUCCUCGCCGCCUUCGGAAGCCCUAGCGAAGCGACUGACGCGAGCGCUGAGGCGGCGGCAGAGGAGGAGGAGGAGCGAGCACCAUGGCGGAGGACGACUACAACGACAUGGAUAUGGGGUACGAGGAUGAGCCCCCAGAACCUGAGAUUGAGGAGCUGAGGAAGAGCCUGAGAAUAACAAUGAGGAUGCUGUGGAUGACGUGGUUGGGGCUGAAGAUGACAGGGAGCAAGAAAAGACGGCUCGCCCAUGGAAAACAUCAAAGUAUAUGACAAAAUACGAGCGUGCACGCAUCCU